GACGAACGCUGGCGGCGUGCUUAACACAUGCAAGUCGAACGGAAAGGCCCUGCUUUUGUGGGGUGCUCGAGUGGCGAACGGGUGAGUAACACGUGAGUAACCUGCCCUUGACUUUGGGAUAACUUCAGGAAACUGGGGCUAAUACCGGAUAGGAGCUCCUGCUGCAUGGUGGGGGUUGGAAAGUUUCGGCGGUUGGGGAUGGACUAGCGGCUUAUCAGCUUGUUGGUGGGGUAGUGGCUUACCAAGGGUUUGACGGGUAGCCGGCCUGAGAGGGUGACCGGCCACAUUGGGACUGAGAUACGGCCCAGACUCCUACGGGAGGCAGCAGUGGGGAAUAUUGCACAAUGGGCGGAAGCCUGAUGCAGCAACGCCGCGUGCGGGAUGACGGCCUUCGGGUUGUAAACCGCUUUCGCCUGUGACGAAGCGUGAGUGACGGUAAUGGGUAAAGAAGCACCGGCUAACUACGUG
This 468-nucleotide ribosomal RNA is filed under the name uncultured bacterium. RNAcentral describes it as "partial 16S ribosomal RNA". It matches the Rfam family "Bacterial small subunit ribosomal RNA", at positions 28 to 507 of the family's 1533-position model. The record is from RNAcentral.